Molecule: ribosomal RNA, 254 nt
Filed under: uncultured bacterium
Lineage: Bacteria
Description: partial 16S ribosomal RNA
Rfam family: Bacterial small subunit ribosomal RNA
Source: RNAcentral
UACGGGGGGAGCAAGCGUUGUUCGGAUUUACUGGGCGUAAAGGGCGGGUAGGCGGCCACCGCAAGUCGGUUGUGAAAUCUCUGGGCUUAACCCAGAACGGCCAAGUGAAACUGACAUGCUAGAGUGCAGAAGGGGCAAUCGGAAUUCUUGGUGUAGCGGUGAAAUGCGUAGAUAUCAAGAGGAACACCUGAGGUGAAGACGGGUUGCUGGGCUGACACUGACGCUGAGGCGCGAAAGCCAGGGGAGCAAACGGG